GUGUUCCCUAGAGUUCCCUUAAACAUUUCAUUAAGGACUCAAUUUCUUUUCAACCUUGUUGAAGCGUUUGGGGGAACUCCCGGAAUCAC
Molecule: microRNA precursor, 89 nt
Filed under: Trifolium pratense (red clover)
Lineage: Eukaryota; Viridiplantae; Streptophyta; Magnoliopsida; Fabales; Fabaceae
Description: pre miRNA mir-395
Rfam family: mir-395 microRNA precursor family
About the family: mir-395 was identified in both Arabidopsis thaliana and Oryza sativa computationally and was later experimentally verified. mir-395 is thought to target mRNAs coding for ATP sulphurylases. The mature sequence is excised from the 3' arm of the hairpin.
Source: Rfam by way of RNAcentral